Molecule: ribosomal RNA, 465 nt
Filed under: uncultured bacterium
Lineage: Bacteria
Description: partial 16S ribosomal RNA
Rfam family: Bacterial small subunit ribosomal RNA
Source: RNAcentral
GACGAACGCUGGCGCCGCGUUCAACAUACGCAAGUCGAACGGACAGGCCCCCUUGGGGGUACUCGAGUGGCCAACGGGUGAGUAACACGUGAGUAACCUGCCCUUGAAUUCGGAAUAACUUCAGGCCACUGGGGCUAAUACCGGACAGGAAUCCCCGCUGCAUGGUGGGGGUUGGAAAGCUUCGGCGGUUCUGGCUGGACUCGCGGCUUAUCAGCUUGUUGGUGGGGUAGUGGCUUACCAAGGCCUUGACGGGUAGCCGGCCUGACAGGGCGACCGGCCACAUUGGGGCUGAGAGACGGCCCAGACUCCGACGGGAGGCAGCAGUGGAGAAUAUUGCACAAUGGGCGGAAGCCUAAUGCAGCAACGCCGCGUGCGGGAUGACGUCCUUCGGGUUGUAAGCCGCUGUCAGCAGGGGCGAAGCUUGUGGUGACGGUACCUUCAGAAGAAGCACCGGCUAACUACGUG